RNAcentral lists this ribosomal RNA (422 nucleotides) under uncultured bacterium. RNAcentral's name for it is "bacterial SSU rRNA". It matches the Rfam family "Bacterial small subunit ribosomal RNA", at positions 355 to 774 of the family's 1533-position model. The record is from RNAcentral.
UGAGGAAUAUUGGUCAAUGGGCGGAAGCCUGAACCAGCCAAGUAGCGUGCAGGAAGACGGCCCUCCGGGUUGUAAACUGCUUUUAGUUGGGAAUAAAACGGGGCUCGUGAGCCCCCUUGCAUGUACCAUCAGAAAAAGGACCGGCUAAUUCCGUGCCAGCAGCCGCGGUAAUACGGAAGGUCCGGGCGUUAUCCGGAUUUAUUGGGUUUAAAGGGAGCGCAGGCGGACCUUUAAGUCAGCUGUGAAAUACGGCGGCUCAACCGUCGAACUGCAGUUGAUACUGGAGGUCUUGAGUGCACACAGGGAUGCUGGAAUUCAUGGUGUAGCGGUGAAAUGCUCAGAUAUCAUGAAGAACUCCGAUCGCGAAGGCAGGCAUCCGGGGUGCAACUGACGCUGAGGCUCGAAAGUGCGGGUAUCAAACA